This 769-nucleotide ribosomal RNA is filed under the name Escherichia coli. Its description in RNAcentral is "bacterial LSU rRNA". It matches the Rfam family "Bacterial large subunit ribosomal RNA", at positions 1 to 801 of the family's 2925-position model. The record is from RNAcentral. Lineage: Bacteria; Pseudomonadati; Pseudomonadota; Gammaproteobacteria; Enterobacterales; Enterobacteriaceae.
GGGUUGUGAGGUUAAGCGACUAAGCGUACACGGUGGAUGCCCUGGCAGUCAGAGGCGAUGAAGGACGUGCUAAUCUGCGAUAAGCGUCGGUAAGGUGAUAUGAACCGUUAUAACCGGCGAUUUCCGAAUGGGGAAACCCAGUGUGAUUCGUCACACUAUCAUUAACUGAAUCCAUAGGUUAAUGAGGCGAACCGGGGGAACUGAAACAUCUAAGUACCCCGAGGAAAAGAAAUCAACCGAGAUUCCCCCAGUAGCGGCGAGCGAACGGGGAGCAGCCCAGAGCCUGAAUCAGUGUGUGUGUUAGUGGAAGCGUCUGGAAAGGCGCGCGAUACAGGGUGACAGCCCCGUACACAAAAAUGCACAUACUGUGAGCUCGAUGAGUAGGGCGGGACACGUGGUAUCCUGUCUGAAUAUGGGGGGGGACCAUCCUCCAAGGCUAAAUACUCCUGACUGACCGAUAGUGAACCAGUACCGUGAGGGAAAGGCGAAAAGAACCCCGGCGAGGGGAGUGAAAAAGAACCUGAAACCGUGUACGUACAAGCAGUGGGAGCACGCUUAGGCGUGUGACUGCGUACCUUUUGUAUAAUGGGUCAGCGACUUAUAUUCUGUAGCAAGGUUAACCGAAUAGGGGAGCCGAAGGGAAACCGAGUCUUAACUGGGCGUUAAGUUGCAGGGUAUAGACCCGAAACCCGGUGAUCUAGCCAUGGGCAGGUUGAAGGUUGGGUAACACUAACUGGAGGACCGAACCGACUAAUGUUGAAAAAUUAGC